UCUUCAAGUCUUGAAAAGAGGUGUUCGCGCCUGUGGCACGAAAAAAAUCUAGAGAAGGAAAAAAAAGAAAUGGGUUUGUAUCCUAAACUACUGAUUCUUUUUAAAGGUAUAUGGUGGUGGAAUUUACUGUGUUCGGUGAAAUGCAUAAUAUAUGAAGGAACACCAGUGGCUAAGGCGGCCACCUGGACUGAUACUGACACUGAUGUGUUAAAGCGUGGGAAGAAAACAGGAUUAGAUACCCUGGUAGUCCACGCCGUAAACGAUGUCUACUAUCGUUGGGAUCCUUGAGAUCUUAGGGGCGCAGCUAACGCUAUAAGUCGACCGCCUGGGGAGUACGGCCUCCAGGUUAAAACUCAAAUGAAUUGACGGGGGCCCGCACAAGCAGUGGAGAAUUGUGGUUUAAUUCGAAACAACGCGUAUAACCUUACCUGGCCUUGAACUUGCUGAGAACUUUUCCAGAGAUGGAUUGGUGCCUUCCGGGAAAUCUUACUCUGGUUGCUUACAUGGCUGUCGUCAACUUGUGUUCUUGAGAUGUUGGGUUUAAGUCACCAUAAACGAAGCGCUAUCCCUUUGUCUCUUAUAUUACCCUCCACCCUUGAAUUGGGCACUUCCAAAGGAGAACGUGGCCUGUUAACUAAUCCGGAAGGAAGGUUGGUGAUAUAACCCUCAA
RNAcentral lists this ribosomal RNA (670 nucleotides) under Pseudomonas aeruginosa. RNAcentral describes it as "bacterial SSU rRNA". It matches the Rfam family "Bacterial small subunit ribosomal RNA", at positions 600 to 1156 of the family's 1533-position model. The record is from RNAcentral. Lineage: Bacteria; Pseudomonadati; Pseudomonadota; Gammaproteobacteria; Pseudomonadales; Pseudomonadaceae.